GUACGUUGUUGGUAUUUACACUCAAAUGGGCCUUGUUCUUGGAGAUGCUCCAGGUGUUCUGCUUUUUAAAAAAGUGGAUUCCAAGCCAAUAUCAUGAGCAUAUAUUGUGUUUGGUCUUGUCGAAUACAAUGAGUAAUCACUUAAGUUGUAACCACUUUGUCCGACCAAUGCAUAUGUUGGGUGAGGUGGCGAAAGGAAACAGCUCUUGUGAGCUGAUCCAUAUUGUCGUAAAGGGCUAGAACAAGGGGAUACCGGUAAAGAUGUGAACAUUGAGUCAUCCCUCGCUUUCUUCAAUCCUCUGGUAUUAGUUAGCACUUGCUUCAUUGCAUAAUCUCCAUCAGACAAAGUUAAACUCGUUCUAUUGGAGUGGAGAUCUAUCAGAGGCGGCGUGUGGCUUCCAUCAAAAGUGUAU
This 412-nucleotide unclassified non-coding RNA is filed under the name Hevea brasiliensis (rubber tree). The record is from RNAcentral. Lineage: Eukaryota; Viridiplantae; Streptophyta; Magnoliopsida; Malpighiales; Euphorbiaceae.